RNAcentral lists this ribosomal RNA (495 nucleotides) under uncultured bacterium. RNAcentral describes it as "partial 16S ribosomal RNA". It matches the Rfam family "Bacterial small subunit ribosomal RNA", at positions 28 to 507 of the family's 1533-position model. The record is from RNAcentral.
GAUGAACGCUGGCGGCGUGCUUAACACAUGCAAGUCGAACGAAGCACCUCUCCCGAAGAUUGACACAGCUUGCUGUAGAUUGAUUCAUUUGAGGUGACUGAGUGGCGGACGGGUGAGUAACGCGUGGGUAACCUGCCUCAUAGAGGGGGACAACAGUUGGAAACGACUGCUAAUACCGCAUAGUAAGAAGAAUUCGCAUGUUUUCUUCUUGAAAGAUUUAUCGCUAUGAGAUGGACCCGCGUCUGAUUAGCUAGUUGGUAAGGUAACGGCUUACCAAGGCGACGAUCAGUAGCCGGCUUGAGAGAGUGAACGGCCACAUUGGGACUGAGACACGGCCCAAACUCCUACGGGAGGCAGCAGUGGGGAAUAUUGCACAAUGGGGGAAACCCUGAUGCAGCGACGCCGCGUGAGUGAAGAAGUAUUUCGGUAUGUAAAGCUCUAUCAGCAGGGAAGAUAAUGACGGUACCUGACUAAGAAGCCCCGUCUAACUACGUG